RNAcentral lists this ribosomal RNA (498 nucleotides) under Triticum aestivum (bread wheat). RNAcentral describes it as "partial small subunit ribosomal RNA". The record is from RNAcentral. Lineage: Eukaryota; Viridiplantae; Streptophyta; Magnoliopsida; Poales; Poaceae.
AUGCUCAGCAUAUCAUCACUGAUUUCGGGCCGGAUUUCCUCGCCACCAGCAGCAAUAACCCGAUUGACGCACCGAAGAUCUUCCGGCAGAAUGUUUGACGUGUCAUGUGUGACCGGUGUUGGAAAGUGUAGCUGGUGCAAUUCGGGACAGUGGUGCACUGCCAAUGCAGCUUUACCAGAUUUUUUUUCUGAUGGGUGGGUUUACCAGAUUUUGGCUAGGUGCUGUAGAUCUGUGAAAUGGCAGCUGUACCUCGUAGUUUUGGCUUGUCCUCCUCCUGUACUCUGCCUCGAGAUUGAAAUGAAACUGAUUGGUUGUGGUGCAGAACUUGUCAGUGGAAGCGCGUUGCCCAUGCUAGAUUUGGGCUGCCUUUCCCUGAUCCGGCAAGCUCUGAAAAGGAGGGAGGCGUUUCUUGUUCCGUUUUCUUCUCUUUCGGAGAACGGACGUACUGGACUCAGCGGCAUCAUAUCCAGAGAUUCUAACAGAGCCGAUAACUGUUAG